GCAGGAUCAACCAGGUAGCAUUCCUCGCUGACAUUACCCGACGGGGCAUGCAAAUGCCACGACGAGAGUCGUUCAGUUGGGACGAAUAUCGCUAGCUACGGGCCAAGACGAGACAUUGCCGUCGUACCCCAAUGAAUAUUCCGAAUCCGAGAGCUCAAGCGAGCGUCCAUGGGCCAAAAUAACUACAAUCGCAAUUCGAGUUACGUGGGACACAAACGAUGCUUCGAGGUUCACCGCAUCGAAAACCCGUAGCAAAACGGGAUGACGGCCGGUGAAGGAUACACGAUUUGGCAGCAUAAUUCCAUAUAGUGGGAAUGCAACACAGAAAACCAAAUAAAACGGAUGACCAAGGCAAGAAGUGCUCUUGUGCCAGUAAAUGAAGAGGAGCGCACAACCGACCGUCAUUGCCACAACAAUGAUCCAACC
RNAcentral lists this unclassified non-coding RNA (426 nucleotides) under Lasianthus ridleyi. RNAcentral describes it as "partial external transcribed spacer". The record is from RNAcentral. Lineage: Eukaryota; Viridiplantae; Streptophyta; Magnoliopsida; Gentianales; Rubiaceae.